RNAcentral lists this long non-coding RNA (207 nucleotides) under Homo sapiens (human). Its description in RNAcentral is "HSALNT0182642". The record is from RNAcentral. Lineage: Eukaryota; Metazoa; Chordata; Mammalia; Primates; Hominidae.
CGGGGAGAGCUUGCAGGAUCCCCAUAAAUUAUUAGUGGGCUCUGCCCUUGGGUUGCUCAUAUACCAUGAGCCCCAUGGAUUAGGGGGAUGUGUGUGUAUGAAUGUGACUUUCUGGAUAUUGGAACACCUGUAUAGGGACCAUCUGAGGGGUCUCAGCCACCAAAGGGUCAUGGCUUUGGUUUUCCCUUCUUUGAAUGUUGAGCCGUG